AGGAUUAACGCUGGCGGCGUGCAUGAAACAUGCAAGUCGAGCGCGGUGUGAUGCGGGGUAACCCAAUUCACAUCUAGCGGCGAACGGGUGAGUAACACGUGAGCAACCUACCUUUGAGUUGGGGAUAGCCCUGGGAAACCAGGAUUAAUACCCGAUGUGGUCACAACAGGACAUCCUGAUGUGAGUAAAGGCGCAAGCCGCUCAAUGACGGGCUCGCGGCCUAUUAGCUUGUUGGUGGGGUAACGGCCUACCAAGGCGAUGAUGGGUAGCUGGUCUGAGAGGACGAUCAGCCACACUGGGACUGAGACACGGCCCAGACUCCUACGGGAGGCAGCAGUUAGGAAUUUUCCGCAAUGGGCGAAAGCCUGACGGAGCAACGCCGCGUGAGUGAUGAAGACCUUAGGGUUGUAAAGCUCUGUCGGAGGGAAGAACACAAUGACGGUACCCUCCAAGAAAGCCCGGCUAACUACGUGCCAGCAGCCGCGGUAAU
Molecule: ribosomal RNA, 490 nt
Filed under: uncultured bacterium
Lineage: Bacteria
Description: SSU rRNA
Rfam family: Bacterial small subunit ribosomal RNA
Source: RNAcentral